RNAcentral lists this ribosomal RNA (442 nucleotides) under uncultured Anaeroplasma sp. RNAcentral's name for it is "bacterial SSU rRNA". It matches the Rfam family "Bacterial small subunit ribosomal RNA", at positions 341 to 792 of the family's 1533-position model. Lineage: Bacteria; Bacillati; Mycoplasmatota; Mollicutes; Anaeroplasmatales; Anaeroplasmataceae. The record is from RNAcentral.
ACGGAAGGCAGCAGUAGGGAAUUUUCGGCAAUGGGCGCAAGCCUGACCGAGCAACGCCGCGUGAACGAAGAAGUAUUUCGGUAUGUAAAGUUCUUUUAUCAGGGACGAAAAAAUUAAAAUUGACUGUACCUGAUGAAUAAGCUCCGGCUAACUACGUGCCAGCAGCCGCGGUAAUACGUAGGGAGCGAGCGUUAUCCGGAAUUAUUGGGCGUAAAGGGUGCGUAGACGGCACAAAAAGUUUCUUGUAAAAGAUCUGGGCUCAACCCAGUAGAGCAAGAGAUACUGUUGAGCUAGAGUACGGAAGAGGCAAGUGGAACUCCAUGUGUAGCGGUAAAAUGCGUAAAUAUAUGGAAGAACACCAGUGGCGAAGGCGGCUUGCUGGUCCGAUACUGACGUUGAGGCACGAAAGCGUGGGGAGCAAACAGGAUUAGAUACCCUGGUA